RNAcentral lists this ribosomal RNA (432 nucleotides) under uncultured bacterium. RNAcentral describes it as "partial 16S ribosomal RNA". It matches the Rfam family "Bacterial small subunit ribosomal RNA", at positions 29 to 506 of the family's 1533-position model. The record is from RNAcentral.
AACGAACGCUGGCGGCAUGCCUAACACAUGCAAGUCGAACGAGACCUUCGGGUCUAGUGGCGCACGGGUGCGUAACGCGUGGGAACCUGCCCUUAGGUUCGGAAUAACUCCCCGAAAGGGGUGCUAAUACCGGAUAAUGUCUUCGGACCAAAGAUUUAUCGCCUUUGGAUGGGCCCGCGUUGGAUUAGCUAGUUGGUAGGGUAAAAGCCUACCAAGGCGACGAUCCAUAGCUGGUCUGAGAGGAUGAUCAGCCACACUGGGACUGAGACACGGCCCAGACCCCUAGGGGAGGGGGGAGGGGGGAAGAUGGGAAAGGGGGGGAAAGCCUGACCCAGAAAUGCCGGGUGGGUGAGGAAGGCCUUGGGUUGGGAAAGCUCUUUUACCCGGGAUGAUAAUGACAGUACGGGGAGAAUAAGCUCGGGCUAACUCCGU